This 352-nucleotide unclassified non-coding RNA is filed under the name soil metagenome. RNAcentral's name for it is "partial contains 5.8S ribosomal RNA, internal transcribed spacer 2, and large subunit ribosomal RNA". The stretch from base 1 to 120 matches the Rfam family "5.8S ribosomal RNA", at positions 35 to 154 of the family's 154-position model. The record is from RNAcentral.
GAUGAAGAACGUAGCGAAAUGCGAUAAGUAAUGUGAAUUGCAGAAUUCAGUGAAUCAUCGAAUCUUUGAACGCACAUUGCGCCCGCCAGUAUUCUGGCGGGCAUGCCUGUUCGAGCGUCAUUACAACCCUCAGGCCCCCGGGCCUGGCGUUGGGGAUCGGCGGAAGCCCCCUGCGGGCACAACGCCGUCCCCCAAAUACAGUGGCGGUCCCGCCGCAGCUUCCAUUGCGUAGUAGCUAACACCUCGCAACUGGAGAGCGGCGCGGCCACGCCGUAAAACACCCAACUUCUGAAUGUUGACCUCGAAUCAGGUAGGAAUACCCGCUGAACUUAGGCAUAUCAAUAAGCGGAGA